GACGAACGCUGGCGGCGUGCUUAACACAUGCAAGUCGAACGAUGAAGGGGAGCUUGCUCCCUGGAUUAGUGGCGAACGGGUGAGUAACACGUGAGCAACCUGCCCCUAACUCUGGGAUAACGCUUCGAAAGGAGUGCUAAUACCGGAUAUGAGCCUGGAAGACAUCUUCUGGGUUGGAAAGUUUUUCGGUUAGGGAUGGGCUCGCGGCCUAUCAGCUUGUUGGUGAGGUAAAGGCUCACCAAGGCGACGACGGGUAUCCGGCCUGAGAGGGCGACCGGACACACUGGGACUGAGACACGGCCCAGACUCCUACGGGAGGCAGCAGUGGGGAAUAUUGCGCAAUGGGCGAAAGCCUGACGCAGCGACGCCGCGUGAGGGAUGAAGGUCUUCGGAUUGUAAACCUCUUUCAGCAGGGACGAAGCGAAAGUGACGGUACCUGAAGAAGAAGCACCGGCUAACUACG
This 463-nucleotide ribosomal RNA is filed under the name uncultured Actinomycetales bacterium. RNAcentral describes it as "bacterial SSU rRNA". It matches the Rfam family "Bacterial small subunit ribosomal RNA", at positions 28 to 505 of the family's 1533-position model. The record is from RNAcentral. Lineage: Bacteria; Bacillati; Actinomycetota; Actinomycetes; Actinomycetales.